RNAcentral lists this long non-coding RNA (333 nucleotides) under Androctonus crassicauda. The record is from RNAcentral. Lineage: Eukaryota; Metazoa; Arthropoda; Arachnida; Scorpiones; Buthidae.
CUAGCUGAUGGACUUUGUUACACUUGUGCUCAGAGCAGAAAAAUAUAAAUAUAAAAAGUUUCAGAAAACCAAUGCUCAAUUGGGUGUUCCAAAUUCAGUUAGAUACGAAAAUGUUGAAAAACAUUUACCAGUUGAAUUAGGAAACAGAAAAAGGUGCCGACUUUGUUCAACAAAAAAGAACAAAAAAAGGAUUGUGACUGUUUGCAAAGCAUGACAUCCUUUGUGUAUCACACCAUGUUUUGAACGGUUUCACUGCAAUUAAAAUAUCUUUAAAAAUAUAUAAUUUUUUUUAAAGUAUUGAUAUCACUAGCUAAGAAGUGGUACACAUCGCUG